GACGAACGCUGGCGGCGUGCUUAACACAUGCAAGUCGAGCGGUAAGGCCCUUUCGGGGGUACACGAGCGGCGAACGGGUGAGUAACACGUGGGUGACCUGCCCUCAGCUCUGGGAUAAGCCUGGGAAACCGGGUCUAAUACCGGAUAUGACUCCAUGACGCAUGUUGUGGGGUGGAAAGCCUUGUGCGGCUGAGGAUGGGCCCGCGGCCUAUCAGCUUGUUGGUGGGGUGAUGGCCUACCAAGGCGACGACGGGUAGCCGGCCUGAGAGGGCGACCGGCCACACUGGGACUGAGACACGGCCCAGACUCCUACGGGAGGCAACAGUGGGGAAUCUUGCGCAAUGGGCGAAAGCCUGACGCAGCGACGCCGCGUGAGGGAUGACGGCCU
Molecule: ribosomal RNA, 388 nt
Filed under: uncultured bacterium
Lineage: Bacteria
Description: bacterial SSU rRNA
Rfam family: Bacterial small subunit ribosomal RNA
Source: RNAcentral